ACUUGCCACACUCCAAAGCAACAAUGGAACUAAACAAGUCAAAACAAUUGAAAAGGAUCCUUCCUCUCUCCAACCCAAGAAGCUAACCACGAAACCUCUCACUCCCACUUUUAUAUAUAACCUCCAAUCUCAAAAAACAAAAUCCAUAAUCAAAACCACAAUCACAAACACAAACACGAAGAAGACUCCUAUAUCAUUCAUCUAUGGCUUCUUCAAAUCAACAACAACAAGAACAAGACCAAUCAUCUUUAGAUCUCAUAACCCAACACCUUCUUACCGAUUUCCCUUCCUUAGAGACCUUUGUCUCCACCAUCCACCACUGCACCACCUCAACUCUAAGCCAACGCAAGCCACCUCUUGCCACUAUAGCAGUUCCUACUACUGGACCAGUGGCUCAAGAGGAUGAUUAAAGGCAUUACAGAGGCGUGAGGCGAAGACCUUGGGGCAAGUAUGCGGCUGAGAUCAGAGACCCAAACAGGAAAGGUGUUCGUGUCUGGUUAGGGACUUUUGACACAGCCAUGGAAGCUGCAAGGGGUUAUGACAAGGCUGCUUUUAAACUACGUGGAAGCAAAGCCAUUCUUAACUUUCCACUCGAAGCAGGAAAGCACGAGGACUUAGGAGACAAUAACAAGACUGUGUCUUUGAAAGCAAAGAGGAAAAGACAAGUAACGGAGGAUGUAAGCCACCUAAGCAGCCAUAAAGCUGUGAAGAGGGAAGAAACUCAGGCUCAGGCUCAGGCUCAGGCUCAGACUGAUGCUUGUCCAUAUCAAACAACUAAAAGAAGAUUCAGGCCCAAAAGGAAAAGAGAAGCCCACGAAGCCCAACUCUGCAACUCUGCAACAAUCACACGCGCCCUUACCGCUUCUAUCGCUGCCAACAAACAUAAGCGUGCAUAAUCGCUUUGAUGUUCUUGGAAGUAGCAGCAUCUCAUGCAACUAGAACAUUCAUCAUUAGCUUUUUGUAACUCUUCUCUUUAUAAAGACCUCUGCUUGUAAUCCAAUUAAGUUAAGGAAAAAUAUUUAAUCUUUUCCUCUCUUUCAAGCUUUCUCUUCUAUUUUCAUGGUAUCAGAGCUUAGGACUCUGUUCCUGAGCCAUGGAAGACUCUUUUUCUAAAUAUCUUAAUAUCUCUCAGGUUGUUACUCUCAAACUUACUCCAACGAAUUACCUUCUAUGGAAAACUCAAUUUGAGUCCUACCUUUCUACACAUCUUCUUCUGGGUUUCGUCACAGGCGCUACUCCUCGUCCGGUCUCCACCGUCACUGUUACAAAGGAUAAUGUCUUGUCUGAAGAAGCAAAUCCAGAAUUUCUGAAAUGGAUUCGCACUGAUCAGUUGGUCAAAGCUUGGAUCUUUGGAUCUCUCUCCGAAGAAGCUCUCAAGGUUGUCAUUGGCUUAAAUUCUGCUCAAGAGGUAUGGCUUAGCUUAGCUAGGCGUUUUAAUCGUGUUUCCACCACUAGGAAAUACGAUCUGCAGACACGUCUAAACACUUGUUCCAAGGCUGGGAAAACAAUGGAGGCUUAUCUAAGUGAGAUUAAAAACGUUUGUGAUCAGCUUGAUUCAAUUGGCUUUCCGGUUACAGAACAAGAGAAGAUUUUUGGUGUUCUGAAUGGGCUGGGAAAAGAGUAUGAAUCUGUAGCAACUGUGAUAGAACACUCUCUUGAUGUGUAUCCAGGCCCAUGUUUUGAUGAUGUCGUGUACAAGCUCACUGUGUUUGAUGAUAAACUCUCCAAGUAUGCUGCAAACUCUAAAGUCACUCCACAUCUGGUUUUUUACACGGAUAAAAGUUAUUCUCCACGGGAUAAUUACAAUGGUCGUGGUGGAAGAUCGGGAGCUUCCCGUGGUCGUGGGUUCCAACAACAGUUUGGCUCUGGUUCAAACAAUGGCCCUGGAAACUAUCCGAAACCCACAUGUCAAAUCUGCGGGAAAUAUGGUCACUCUGCGUUUAAGUGUUACAAGCGGUUUGAAGAGAAUUAUCAACCUGAAGAUCUUCAUCAUGCUCUUGCUACUAUGCGCGUAUCUGAUCAAAAUCACCCUGCAGGUCAUGAAUGGUUCCCAGACUCGGCUGCUACUGCCCAUAUCACAAACACCACCAAUGGUCUUCAAAACUCCCAACCAUACUCAGGUGAUGAUUCUGUGAUUGUAGGAAAUGGAGAUUUUCUGCCCAUCACUCAUAUUGGUACAAUUCCUCUGAACACUUCUCAAGGUACACUACCUUUAGAGGAUGUCUUAGUCUGUCCUGCAAUAACUAAAUCGCUUUUAUCUGUCUCCAAGCUUACUGAUGAUUAUCCCUGCUCGUUUACGUUUGAUUCUGAUUCUGUUGUUAUAAAGGACAAACGAACACAACAGCUCCUCACUCGAGGAACCAAGCAUAAAGGUCUAUAUGUGUUGAAGGAUGUCCCGAUUCAAGCUUACUAUUCUACUCGACAACAAUCUACCGAUGGGGAAGUGUGGCAUCAGCGAUUGGGUCAUCCUAACAAAGAUAUUUUGCAGCAUCUUAUCAAGACUAAGGCUAUUGUUGUCAAUAAAACAAGCUCUAAUCUGUGUGAUGCUUGUCAAUUGGGAAAAGUGUGUCGUCUUCCUUUUGUUGCUUCUGAUUUUAUCUCUUCUCGGCCCCUAGAACGUAUUCAUUGUGAUCUAUGGGGCCCAACACCUGUUAUCUCUUCUCAGGGUUUUCAAUAUUAUGUCAUCUUUAUCGACAACUACUCUCGCUUCUCAUGGUUUUAUCCGUUAAAGUUGAAGUCUGAUUUUUUCUCGGUUUUUCUCCUCUUUCAACAACUUGUCGAGAAUCAAUACCAACAAAAGAUUGCUAUGUUUCAGUGUGAUGGAGGGGGUGAGUUCAUCUCAAACAAAUUUGUUGCUCACCUUGCUUCAUGUGGUAUUAGGCAACUGAUUUCGUGUCCUCACACUCCACAACAGAACGGGAUUGCUGAAAGACGACAUCGAAAUCUAACCGAACUUGGUCUCUCUCUCAUGUUUCACAGCAAGGUUCCACAUAAGCUAUGGGUUGAAGCAUUCUUUACCUCAAAUUUUUUGGGUAAUCUUCUUCCAUCUUCUGCUGUGUCCAACAAUAAAAGUCCCUAUGAGAUUCUGCAUGGAACUCCUCCUGUCUAUACUGCGCUGCGUGUUUUUGGGAGUGCCUGCUACCUUUACCUUCGUCCUUAUGCGAAAAACAAGUUUGAUCCCAAGUCUCUUCUAUGUGUGUUUUUGGGAUAUAACAACAAAUACAAGGGAUAUAGGUGUCUUCAUCCACCUACGGGAAAAAUCUACAUUAGUCGACAUGUUUUGUUUGACGAAAGACAAUUCCCGUACUCUGACAUUUAUUCUCAAUUUCAGACAACUUCUGAUUCUCCCCUUCUCACUGCUUGGCAACGGGGGUUUCUCAUCAAGAAUCCUCACCAGAAACACCAUCCACAUCCCCGAGCGUGGAAGAUGUUGUUUUCCCUCUUCCAAAUGUCUCCAGCAGCUCCACACCAAACACUGCCACUCCUGGUUUGGUCUUUUCAGAUGAUACUGCUCCUUUUAGUCCGAUCACGUCUACAUCGACUCCCACUCAGCCUGAGAUUUUAACGUCUGAUCUUGAUCACUGCCCUCCUGACUUUGAACCGGCAGUCACCAACGAUGUCACUCCGCAAAUCACAGAUAACUCUCUGUUUACUGAUUCUGAUUUUCCGCCUCUGCAAUCUGCGGUCUCCUCUCCUCUUACUGCAACAGAUACCUCUCAUCCCAUGAUUACUCGCGCUAAAGCAGGCAUCACCAAGCCUAAUCCAAAGUAUGCUCUAUUUUCUGUCAAAUCUAACUAUCCUGAGCCUAAAUCCGUCAAAGCUGCUCUCAAAGAUGAAGGCUGGACAAACGCAAUGGGAGAAGAAAUGGAAACGAUGCACGAAACUAAUACAUGGGACUUAGUCCCACCGGAAAUGGCUGAUCGUCCUCUUGGAUGUAAGUGGGUGUUUAAAACGAAACUGAAUUCUGAUGGGAGUUUAGACCGAUUGAAAGCUCGCCUUGUUGCAAGGGGAUAUGAGCAAGAAGAAGGCGUGGAUUAUGUUGAGACAUACAGCCCCGUUGUCAGAACUGCCACGGUUCGAUCUAUUCUUCAUGUCGCUACAAUUAACAAAUGGUCCCUUAAGCAACUCGAUGUGAAAAAUGCUUUUCUUCAUGGGGAAUUGAAAGAAACUGUGUUUAUGACCCAACCACCCGGCUUUGAAGAUCCCUCUCGACCUGACUACGUUUGCAAACUCAAGAAAGCAAUUUAUGGUUUAAAACAAGCGCCUCGGGCUUGGUUUGACAAAUUCAGCUCUUAUCUUCUGCAGUUUGGAUUUAUCUGCAGCUUUUCGGAUCCUUCUCUCUUUGUUUAUCUUAAGGACAACAACGUUAUGUUCUUGUUGCUUUAUGUUGACGAUAUGAUAUUAACUGGUAACAAUGCUGCUCUCCUUCAACAGUUAUUGACCACUCUCAGUACAGAAUUUUGAAUGAAGGACAUGGGAGCUUUGCAUUACUUCUUGGGGAUUCAGGCGCACUACUACAAUGAUGGUCUUUUCCUUAGUCAGGAAAAGUACGCUUCUGAUUUAUUGAUCAAUGCAGGCAUGUCAGAGUGCUCACCCAUGCCGACACCUCUUCCUCUUCAGCUUGAUCAGUUACCGGGUAACAACGAACCUUUUCCUGAACCCACUUAUUUCAGAAGCUUGGCGGGCAAACUCCAAUAUCUCACUCUCACCAGACCUGACAUCCAGUUCGCGGUUAAUUUUGUUUGCCAAAAGAUGCACUCUCCUUCCAUGUCUGAUUUUCAUUUACUCAAAAGGAUCUUGCGGUAUCUUAAAGGUACAAUGACAAUGGGCAUUAAUCUAUCUUCAAACACAGAUUCUGUUCUUCGUUGCUACAGUGAUAGUGAUUGGGCUGGCUGCAAGGACACACGACGAUCUACCGGAGGUUUCUGCACAUUCCUCGGCUCCAACAUUGUCUCGUGGUCUGCUAAACGUCAUCCCACCGUCUCCAAAUCCUCCACCGAAGCUGAAUACCGGACAUUGUCUUUUGCAGCAUCUGAAGUUGCAUGGAUUGGAGCCUUGCUCCAAGAAAUUGGUCUUCCCCAACAUCAAAUCCCUGAGAUGUACUGUGACAACCUUUCAGCCGUCUACCUCUCUGCUAAUCCCGCUCUUCAUUCUCGUUCCAAACACUUUCAGGUGGACUACCAUUAUGUCCGUGAAAGAGUGGCUUUAGGCGCUCUCACUGUCAAACACAUUCCAGCCUCCCAUCAACUUGCUGACAUUUUCACUAAGUCUCUUCCUCAAGCACCAUUCUUCGAUCUUCGGUUCAAACUUGGUGUCGUCUUGCCGCCGGACACAAGUUUGAGGGGGUGUAUCAAACAACUAAAAGAAGAUUCAGGCCCAAAAGGAAAAGAGAAGCCCACGAAGCCCAACUCUGCAACUCUGCAACAAUCACACGCGCCCUUACCGCUUCUAUCGCCGCCAACAAACAUAAGCGUGCAUAAUCGCUUUGAUGUUCUUGGAAGUAGCAGCAUCUCAUGCAACUAGAACAUUCAUCAUUAGCUUUUUGUAACUCUUCUCUUUAUAAAGACCUAUGCUUGUAAUCCAAUUAAGUUAAGGAAAAAUAUUGAAUCUUUUCCUCUCUUUCAAGCUUUCUCUUCUAUUUUCAGUCCAUUAACGCCGUCAAGUUGGAUGGGGUUUUGGGACGGAGCAGACAGUAAAGAGAUGGGGAUAUUCUCCGUGCCUCCAUUAUCUCCUUAUCUAUCUCUUGGACACUCCCACCUCGUGGUUAUGUAAGCUUCUGAGAGUCAAACUGGGAACAUUCCAACAUUAGGUGACAUUAGCAACUUUGGAUUGUGUUGAAAGCUUCUAGAUUAGCUGAUUGUAAAAAUUGUUUCCCUAUAUUCAUUGAUUCAUCUUAAAUGCAAUUCUUUCUACCCUUCCUUAAACGAGCACAAAGAAGAAGUUUGAACUUACAAGACCUACUAAUGAGCCCUUCAAGCAAAACGAUUGCCUCCAAGACUUUGGUCGCUGUCUAAUAUAAUAGUGCAGACACCCACAAACAUAUGUACUUUUCUUCAACCCUAUAAAUUUCACCAUAGACAAAAACUUUCAUGAGGUUACAAAGUAGACACAGAGAAUUCAGUAUGUUGAAACAAACCUAAGACAUUCCUUUGUUACCCACUCCACGAGACUUCUGCUUCCAGAUGUACUUGAUGCUAAGGUCGUAACUCGUAACAUUUUUACAUCUUACAACAUGACAAGAUUACCUUAACUAUUUCAAGUCACCAAAUCAAAGGAAACAACCAGAAGGAAAAACUUCAUCGCUUAGCCGUGAAAGAAACAUAAAUCAAGUAACCCAAUUAUUUUCAAAAAGAUAGAAACAGUGCGGCCAAAAGAGAAAUUCCAACCACCUAAUCAUAUAAUCCACAGUGAACCAAAAACGAGAAUCCUACACCGUCGAGAAAUUGUCUAAAACAGGCAAGCAGACAUAAACUUGUACCCAUAAAAUUUUUAAAAAGUGUCAAUUUUUGUUUCAAAUUUCUGUAAUAAAAACCAUUUUUAAAAUGUGUCUCGGAUAUGAAGAAGCCUGGAAAUAGAGACAAAUCCACAAAAUCCCUCCUUUCUUGUCUUAAACUUAUACUAAUAUUUAAAGUCCACUUGCCACACUCCAAAACAACAGUAGAAAACAAGUCAAAAUAAUUGAAAAGGAUCCUUCCUCUCUCCAACCAAAGAAGCUAAUCUCAAAAACCUCUCACUUUCCAUUUUUAUAUAACCCUCCAAUCUCAAAAACCAAAACCCACAAUCAAAACAACAAUCAGAUAGAAAAAGGCUCCAGUAUCAUCUAUGGCUUCUUCACAUCAACUAGAACAAGACCAAUCAGCUUUGAAUCUCAUAACCCAACACCUUCUUACCGAUUUCCCUUCCUUAGACACCUUUGUCUCCACCAUCCACCACUGCACCACUUCAACUCUAAGCCAACGCAAGCCACCUCUUGCCACUAUAGCAGUUCCUGCACCAGUGGCUCAAGAGGAUGACCUGAGGCAUUACAGAGGCGUCAGGAGAAGACCGUGGGGUAAGUAUGCGGC
RNAcentral lists this long non-coding RNA (7064 nucleotides) under Arabidopsis lyrata. RNAcentral's name for it is "long non-coding RNA (ALYR_LNC000121)". The record is from RNAcentral. Lineage: Eukaryota; Viridiplantae; Streptophyta; Magnoliopsida; Brassicales; Brassicaceae.